CUGUCAUGAGAAAUGUGACUCAGCAGAUCAACGAACGCAAGCGACGUUUAGAGAAUAUUGACAAGAUUGCUCAGUGGCAGGCUUCUGUCCUAGACUGGGAGGGCGAGGACAUCCUAGACAGGAGCUCGGAGCUGAUCUACACUGGGGAGAUGGCCUGGAUCUACCAGCCCUACGGCCGCAACCAGCAGCGGGUCUUCUUCCUGUUUGACCACCAGAUGGUCCUCUGCAAGAAGGCUUUGAAAUUUCUGAAAACCAGAAGAGGCAGGCUGCAAUGACUGUGAGAAAAGUCCCUAAGCAAAAAGGUGUCAACUCUGCCCGCUCAGUUCCUCCUUCCUACCCACCACCGCAGGACCCGUUAAACCACGGCCAGUACCUGGUCCCCGACGGCAUCGCUCAGUCGCAGGUCUUUGAGUUCACCGAACCCAAGCGCAGCCAGUCACCAUUCUGGCAAAACUUCAGCAGGUUAACCCCCUUCAAAAAAUGAUACCUACAGGGAGGCAGAUAAUUUUAAAAUAAAGUAAAUAAAAUUA
RNAcentral lists this long non-coding RNA (530 nucleotides) under Homo sapiens (human). RNAcentral's name for it is "non-protein coding lnc-SPIN4-2:1". The record is from RNAcentral. Lineage: Eukaryota; Metazoa; Chordata; Mammalia; Primates; Hominidae.